GAUGAACGCUAGCGACAGGCUUAACACAUGCAAGUCGAGGGGAAACGAUAGAGAAAGCUUGCUUUUUCUAGGCGUCGACCGGCGCACGGGUGAGUAACGCGUAUCCAACCUGCCCAUCACUUGGGGAUAACCUUGCGAAAGUAAGACUAAUACCCAAUGACGUCUCUAGAAGACAUCUGAAGGAGAUUAAAGAUUUAUCGGUGAUGGAUGGGGAUGCGUCUGAUUAGCUUGUUGGCGGGGUAACGGCCCACCAAGGCGACGAUCAGUAGGGGUUCUGAGAGGAAGGCCCCCCACAUUGGAACUGAGACACGGUCCAAACUCCUACGGGAGGCAGCAGUGGGGAAUAUUGGUCAAUGGACGAGAGUCUGAACCAGCCAAGUAGCGUGCAGGAUGACGGCCCUAUGGGUUGUAAACUGCUUUUAUAAGGGAAUAAAGUGAGUCUCGUGAGACUUUUUGCAUGUACCUUAUGAAUAAGGACCGGCUAAUUCCGUGCCAGCAGCCG
This 502-nucleotide ribosomal RNA is filed under the name uncultured bacterium. RNAcentral describes it as "bacterial SSU rRNA". It matches the Rfam family "Bacterial small subunit ribosomal RNA", at positions 28 to 517 of the family's 1533-position model. The record is from RNAcentral.